RNAcentral lists this long non-coding RNA (290 nucleotides) under Lathyrus oleraceus (garden pea). RNAcentral describes it as "Pisum sativum (pea) long non-coding RNA (PSAT_LNC035480)". Lineage: Eukaryota; Viridiplantae; Streptophyta; Magnoliopsida; Fabales; Fabaceae. The record is from RNAcentral.
GUUGUAAUUGCUGACAAGGGUGAAGAAGUUGAUUUUGAAGCGUCUGGCGCUACGCAAUUAUCAGGCACCAAACCAUCCAAGAAAUUAAAGAUAGAACCAUCUUCUUAAUUAGAAUUUUCGGAAAUUUGAUAUUGAAAUAUAUUUUAUGAACUUUUUAGCACCAGAAUGAGUUUAAGUAUGAAGUUGUUAAGAACAUGAUAUGUUUUGGUUGUAGGAUGUGUUCUUACUUUUUUGAAGUGUUUAUUUUGUGGGAUUACAAUUGACAUUUAUAUUUCAUGUAUGGUUUAAAG